This 566-nucleotide ribosomal RNA is filed under the name uncultured bacterium. RNAcentral describes it as "partial 16S ribosomal RNA". It matches the Rfam family "Bacterial small subunit ribosomal RNA", at positions 355 to 914 of the family's 1533-position model. The record is from RNAcentral.
UGGGGAAUUUUGGACAAUGGGCGCAAGCCUGAUCCAGCCAUGCCGCGUGCAGGAAGAAGGCCUUCGGGUUGUAAACUGCUUUUGUCAGGGAAGAAAUCCUUUGGGUUAAUACCUCGAAGGGAUGACGGUACCUGAAGAAUAAGCACCGGCUAACUACGUGCCAGCAGCCGCGGUAAUACGUAGGGUGCGAGCGUUAAUCGGAAUUACUGGGCGUAAAGCGUGCGCAGGCGGCUUUGCAAGACAGAUGUGAAAUCCCCGGGCUCAACCUGGGAACUGCAUUUGUGACUGCAAGGCUAGAGUGCGGCAGAGGGAGAUGGAAUUCCGCGUGUAGCAGUGAAAUGCGUAGAUAUGCGGAGGAACACCGAUGGCGAAGGCAAUCUCCUGGGCCUGCACUGACGCUCAUGCACGAAAGCGUGGGGAGCAAACAGGAUUAGAUACCCUGGUAGUCCACGCCCUAAANGAUGUCAACUGGUUGUUGGACGGCUUGCUGUUCAGUAACGAAGCUAACGCGUGAAGUUGACCGCCUGGGGAGUACGGCCGCAAGGUUGAAACUCAAAUGAAUUGAC